AUAGGAUCUAGACCUGGCAUAUCUUCAUACGACCAUGCAAAAAUAUCCGGAUAUUCCCGGAGGAGUUGGAUGAUCUUCUUUUUAACCCCUUCCUCUAGAGCUGCACCGAUCUUGAUUUCUCGCUUGUUCUCCUCGGUACCUAUGUUGAUAAGCUCAAUCUCUUCCUGG
Molecule: microRNA precursor, 168 nt
Filed under: Medicago truncatula (barrel medic)
Lineage: Eukaryota; Viridiplantae; Streptophyta; Magnoliopsida; Fabales; Fabaceae
Description: MIR2680 microRNA precursor family
Rfam family: MIR2680 microRNA precursor family
Source: Rfam by way of RNAcentral